This 372-nucleotide unclassified non-coding RNA is filed under the name uncultured bacterium. RNAcentral's name for it is "contains 16S-23S intergenic spacer region". The record is from RNAcentral.
UCCGGUUUGUCACCGGCAGUCUCCUUAGAGUGCCCUUGCGUAGCAACUAAGGACAAGGGUUGCGCUCGUUGAUGGACUUAACCAAACAUCUCACGACACGAGCUGACGACGGCCAUGCAGCACCUGUCACUUGGCUCAAUAAAGCACUUUCUCCUUUCAGAGAAAUUCCAAGGAUGUCAAACCUGGGUAAGGUUCUUCGCUUACCAUCGAAUUAAACAACACGCUCCACCGCUUGUGCGGGUCCCCGUCAAUUCCUUUAUGUUUUAGUCUUGCGACCGUACUCCACAGGCGGGAUGCUUAACGCGUUAGCUUCGCUACUAGAAGGGUCGAUACUUCUAACAGCUAGCAUCCAUAGUUUACGGCGUGGACUAC